CACGUAGGGCGCAAGCGUUGUCCGGAAUUAUUGGGCGUAAAGAGCUCGUAGGCGGUCUGUUGCGUCCGCUGUGAAAACUCGGGGCUUAACCCCGAGCCUGCAGUGGAUACGGGCAGACUAGAGGUAGGUAGGGGAGAAUGGAAUUCCCGGUGUAGCGGUGAAAUGCGCAGAUAUCGGGAGGAACACCGGUGGCGAAGGCGGCCCUCUGGACCGGUACUGACGCUGAGGAGCGAAAGCGUGGGGAGCGAACAGG
This 253-nucleotide ribosomal RNA is filed under the name uncultured bacterium. RNAcentral describes it as "partial 16S ribosomal RNA". It matches the Rfam family "Bacterial small subunit ribosomal RNA", at positions 524 to 776 of the family's 1533-position model. The record is from RNAcentral.